GUGUCAGCCGCCGCGGUAAUACGUAGGUGGCAAGCGUUGUCCGGAAUUAUUGGGCGUAAAGCGCGCGCAGGCGGUUCUUUAAGUCUGAUGUGAAAGCCCACGGCUCAACCGUGGAGGGUCAUUGGAAACUGGAGAACUUGAGUACAGAAGAGGAAAGCGGAAUUCCACGUGUAGCGGUGAAAUGCGUAGAGAUGUGGAGGAACACCAGUGGCGAAGGCGGCUUUCUGGUCUGUAACUGACGCUGAGGCGCGAAAGCGUGGGGAGCAAACAGGAUUAGAUACCCGGGUAGUCC
This 292-nucleotide ribosomal RNA is filed under the name uncultured bacterium. RNAcentral's name for it is "partial 16S ribosomal RNA". It matches the Rfam family "Bacterial small subunit ribosomal RNA", at positions 505 to 796 of the family's 1533-position model. The record is from RNAcentral.